UACAGAGGUUCCAAGCGUUGUUCGGAUUCACUGGGCGUAAAGGGUGCGCAGGCGGUCGGGUAAGUCUGAUGUGAAAUCUCCGGGCUCAACCCGGAAAGGGCAUUGGAUACUAUCCGGCUGGAGGGUUGCAGGGGGGACUGGAAUUCUCGGUGUAGCAGUGAAAUGCGUAGAUAUCGAGAGGAACACCCGUGGCGAAGGCAAGUCCCUGGACAACUCCUGACGCUCAUGCACGAAAGCUAGGUGAGCAAACAGG
Molecule: ribosomal RNA, 253 nt
Filed under: uncultured bacterium
Lineage: Bacteria
Description: partial 16S ribosomal RNA
Rfam family: Bacterial small subunit ribosomal RNA
Source: RNAcentral